UGGGAGGAAAGAGGUACUCCUCCAUGUCGUUCUGCACUCUUUGCUUCGGGAGGUCGCCGCGCGGAGACGACGAGGUGGAGUGGGAGCGGGAGAGGGAGAGGGAGAAGAAGCACACGAGAAGAGUGCGUCCAAGUGAUGAGGACCGAGGUCGAUGGAUCGGCGAGCCGGACGUAGACAAGAAGGCGUCCGACUUCAUCGCUAGAUUCUACGCGUCACGUUUCAUGGACUCCGAGCCUCGAGCAAUCGUGAGAAUAAAAUUUGCCAUAUUCGAUUUCUCC
Long non-coding RNA from Musa acuminata AAA Group (dessert banana), 278 nucleotides. RefSeq lists it as uncharacterized. NCBI's taxonomy places the organism in Eukaryota, Viridiplantae, Streptophyta, Magnoliopsida, Zingiberales, Musaceae. The transcript has 2 exons. The record is from RefSeq and is a predicted model, not a curated record.